Non-coding RNA from Pelobates cultripes (western spadefoot toad), 455 nucleotides. The record is from the annotation of a GenBank genome assembly. NCBI's taxonomy places the organism in Eukaryota, Metazoa, Chordata, Amphibia, Anura, Pelobatidae.
CGAGACAUUAGCAGAGGGUGAAUGCAAGACAUUAGCAUAGCGUGAAUGCGAGACAUUAGCAGAGGGUGAAUGCGAGACAUUAGCAUAGCGUGAAUGCGAGACAUUAGCAGAGUGUGAAUGCGAGACAUUAGCAUAGGGUGAAUGCGAGACAUUAGCAGAGGGUGAAUGCGAGACAUUAGCAUAGCGUGAAUGCGAGACAUUAGCAGAGGGUGAAUGCGAGACAUUAGCAUAGGGUGAAUGCGAGACAUUAGCAUAGGGUGAAUGCGAGACAUUAGCAUAGCGUGAAUGCGAGACAUUAGCAUAGGGUGAAUGCGAGACAUUAGCAGAGGGUGAAUGCGAGACAUUAGCAUAGCGUGAAUGCGAGACAUUAGCAUAGGGUGAAUGCGAGACAUUAGCAUAGGGUGAAUGCGAGACAUUAGCAGAGGGUGAAUGCGAGACAUUAGCAUAGGGUGAAU